AAAAGUCGGACAUGUUCCAUUCUCAAUGGGAUCUUUCGCCAACCUAUUUUGAACCUUGAAAUUUCGAUUACUAUUUGCUAUUGUUGAUAACCGUACCCUAAACCGCAUCAGGUCUCCAAGGUUAACAGCCUAUGGUUAAGUGGAAUAAAGUAGAUGAGGGAAGUCGGCAAAUUCGAUCUGUAACUUUGGAAAAAGGAUUGGCUCUGGACGUCAGUGAUUUAACUUGUUAAGUCACAAUUAUGACAUAUCCAGAACUGGUGUUGACUAGAGGAAUCUGACUGUUUAAUUAAAACAAAGCAUUGUGUAAAGUUGAAAAACUAUACACGCAAUGUGAUUUCUGCCCAGUGCUCUGAAUGUUAUUGUGAUGAGAUUCGCAUAAGCGCGGGUAAACGGCGGGAGUAACUAUGACUCUCUUAAGGUAGCCAAAUGCCUCGUCGUCUAAUUAAUGACGUGCAUGAAUGGAUCAAUGAGAUUCCUACUGUCCCCAACUACUAUCCAGUGAAACCACAGCCAAGGGAACGGGCUUGGCAAUAUAAGCGGGGAAAGAAGACCCUGUUGAGCUUGACUCUAGUUUGAUAUUGUAAAACUACUUGGAAGAUGUAGCAUACGUGGGAGCAUCUAAUGCGACAGUGAAAUACCACGGCUUCUAAUGUGGCUUUGCUCACUCGGAAUUAGUGGAUCUGCUCUGCAGAAACGCGAAACUAAAGUGUAAACGACAUUCACUGAGGACAUUAUCAAAUGGGGAGUUUGGCUGGGGCGGCACAUCUGCUAAACAUCAACGCAGAUGCCCUAAGGUUAACUCAAAGAGAACAGAAAUCUCUUGUAGACCGAAAGGAGAAAAGUUAGCAUUAUUCGGAUUUGUAUCAUCAAUAAGAAUUGCGAAAGCAUGGCCUAUCGAUCCUUUAAGCCCAGAAAGAUUCUGGCUAGAGGUGACGGAAAAGUUACCACAGGGAUAACUGGCUUGUGGCAGCCAAGCGUUCAUAGCGACGUUGCUUUUUGAUCCUUCGAUGUCGGCUCUUCCUAUCAUUGAGUUGCAGAAGUCUCAAAGUGUCGGAUUGUUCACCCGUUAAUAGGGAACGUGAGCUGGGUUUAGACCGUCGUGAGACAGGUUAGUUUUAUCCUACUUAUACACGCAUCAAAAGAGUUAAUCAACUUAGUACGAGAGGAACCGUUGAUUCAAACCGCUGGUUAAGCGUUUGACUGUAAAGUCAAAGACGCAAAGCUACGUUUGAUGGAUAAUGACUGAACGCCUCUAAGUCAAAAUCCUAACUUGUGAAAAGAUGUAUUAGU
Molecule: ribosomal RNA, 1290 nt
Filed under: Gregarina niphandrodes
Lineage: Eukaryota; Apicomplexa; Conoidasida; Eugregarinorida; Gregarinidae
Description: eukaryotic LSU rRNA
Rfam family: Eukaryotic large subunit ribosomal RNA
Source: RNAcentral